AUUGAACGCUGGCGGCAGGCCUAACACAUGCAAGUCGAACGGUAGCACAGAGAGCUUGCUCUCGGGUGACGAGUGGCGGACGGGUGAGUAAUGUCUGGGAAACUGCCCGAUGGAGGGGGAUAACUACUGGAAACGGUAGCUAAUACCGCAUAACGUCGCAAGACCAAAGUGGGGGACCUUCGGGCCUCACACCAUCGGAUGUGCCCAGAUGGGAUUAGCUAGUAGGUGGGGUAAUGGCUCACCUAGGCGACGAUCCCUAGCUGGUCUGAGAGGAUGACCAGCGACACUGGAACGGAGACACGGUCAAGACUCCUACGGGAGGCAGCAGUGGGGAAUAUUGCACAAUGGGCGCAAGCCUGAUGCAGCCAUGCCGCGUGUAUGAAGAAGGCCUUCGGGUUGUAAAGUACUUUCAGCGGGGAGGAAGGCGGUGGAGUUAAUAACUUCACCGAUUGACGUUACCCGCAGAAGAAGCACCGGCUAACUCCGUGCCAGCCGCCGCCGUAA
This 504-nucleotide ribosomal RNA is filed under the name uncultured bacterium. RNAcentral describes it as "partial 16S ribosomal RNA". It matches the Rfam family "Bacterial small subunit ribosomal RNA", at positions 29 to 523 of the family's 1533-position model. The record is from RNAcentral.